This 791-nucleotide ribosomal RNA is filed under the name uncultured bacterium. Its description in RNAcentral is "bacterial SSU rRNA". It matches the Rfam family "Bacterial small subunit ribosomal RNA", at positions 8 to 796 of the family's 1533-position model. The record is from RNAcentral.
AGAGUUUGAUCCUGGCUCAGAUUGAACGCUGGCGGCAGGCCUAACACAUGCAAGUCGAGCGGAUGAGAGGAGCUUGCUCCUUAAUUCAGCGGCGGACGGGUGAGUAAUGCCUAGGAAUCUGCCUGGUAGUGGGGGACAACGUUUCGAAAGGAACGCUAAUACCGCAUACGUCCUACGGGAGAAAGCAGGGGACCUUCGGGCCUUGCGCUAUCAGAUGAGCCUAGGUCGGAUUAGCUAGUUGGUGAGGUAAUGGCUCACCAAGGCGACGAUCCGUAACUGGUCUGAGAGGAUGAUCAGUCACACUGGAACUGAGACACGGUCCAGACUCCUACGGGAGGCAGCAGUGGGGAAUAUUGGACAAUGGGCGAAAGCCUGAUCCAGCCAUGCCGCGUGUGUGAAGAAGGUCUUCGGAUUGUAAAGCACUUUAAGUUGGGAGGAAGGGUUGUAGAUUAAUACUCUGCAAUUUUGACGUUACCGACAGAAUAAGCACCGGCUAACUCUGUGCCAGCAGCCGCGGUAAUACAGAGGGUGCAAGCGUUAAUCGGAAUUACUGGGCGUAAAGCGCGCGUAGGUGGUUUGUUAAGUUGGAUGUGAAAGCCCCGGGCUCAACCUGGGAACUGCAUUCAAAACUGACAAGCUAGAGUAUGGUAGAGGGUGGUGGAAUUUCCUGUAGCGGUGAAAUGCGUAGAUAUAGGAAGGAACACCAGUGGCGAAGGCGACCACCUGGACUGAUACUGACACUGAGGUGCGAAAGCGUGGGGAGCAAACAGGAUUAGAUACCCUAGUAGUCC